UACAGAGGUCCCAAGCGUUGUUCGGAUUUACUGGGCGUAAAGGGUGCGUAGGUGGCGAGGUAAGUUCGAUGUGAAAUCUCCGAGCUCAACUCGGAAAUGGCAUUGAAUACUAUCCCGCUUGAGGGUCGGAGGGGAGACUGGAAUUCCUGGUGUAGCGGUGAAAUGCGCAGAUAUCAGGAGGAACACCGAUGGCGAAGGCAGGUCUCUGGGCAUUAACUGACGCUGAGGAGCGAAAGUGUGGGGAGCGAACAGG
This 253-nucleotide ribosomal RNA is filed under the name uncultured bacterium. RNAcentral's name for it is "partial 16S ribosomal RNA". It matches the Rfam family "Bacterial small subunit ribosomal RNA", at positions 524 to 776 of the family's 1533-position model. The record is from RNAcentral.